GGUUAAGUGACUAAGCGUACAUGGUGGAUGCCUUGGCAGUCAGAGGCGAUGAAGGACGUACUAACCUGCGAUAAGCCGUGAGCAGUCGGUAAGAGACAUUACGACUCACGGAUUUCCGAAUGGGGAAACCCACUUAGCAUAAGCUAGGUAUCGCUGCGUGAAUACAUAGCGUAGCGAGGCGAACCGGGAGAACUGAAACAUCUAAGUACCCCGAGGAAAAGAAAUCAACCGAGAUUCCCUCAGUAGCGGCGAGCGAACGGGGAUUAGCCCUUAAGCAUCUUGGAAGUUAGUGGAACGGUCCUGGAAAGGCCGGCAAUACAGGGUGAUAGCCCCGUACACGAAAACAACCUUGAUGUGAAAUCGAGUAGGGCGGGACACGUGACAUCCUGUCUGAAUAUGGGGGGACCAUCCUCCAAGGCUAAAUACUCCUGACUGACCGAUAGUGAACCAGUACCGUGAGGGAAAGGCGAAAAGAACCCCUGUGAGGGGAGUGAAAUAGAACCUGAAACCGUGUACGUACAAGCAGUGGGAGCCCUUCGGGGUGACUGCGUACCUUUUGUAUAAUGGGUCAGCGACUUACAUUUUGUAGCGAGGUUAACCGUAUAGGGGAGCCGUAGGGAAACCGAGUCUUAAGUGGGCGUCUAGUUGCAAGGUGUAGACCCGAAACCGGGUGAUCUAGCCAUGGGCAGGUUGAAGGUUGAGUAACAUCAACUGGAGGACCGAACCCACUAACGUUGCAAAGUUAGGGGAUGACCUGUGGCUGGGGGUGAAAGGCCAAUC
Molecule: ribosomal RNA, 780 nt
Filed under: Aeromonas sp. Prich7-2
Lineage: Bacteria; Pseudomonadati; Pseudomonadota; Gammaproteobacteria; Aeromonadales; Aeromonadaceae
Description: partial 23S ribosomal RNA
Rfam family: Bacterial large subunit ribosomal RNA
Source: RNAcentral